GGUCCUUUAAGGUCUUGAACAUCGGUUUCCUGACUUGAGCGGGGCCCAUGCCCCUGCCAAGGAGGCUCAGCCUGGAAGCAGCUAGCCGAUUUCCCAUCUGCCCCACCAAGACCCAGCAAGGAUCUCUACUUGACUUUCCUCCUUCAGGCAACCACCUAGAAAAUCGUUGUUUGUUCAUGUCACAAGUGAAAGUAUCUUUCUCAUGCGUUCAUCGUUGGCACGUCCUCCUUUGGCAAUAUUAAAACCUACCAACAAAUGAGAAAGUUUAACAUUUGCACCAUCUUGUCAUAUUCAAAAACUUUGUGCUUAGUGUUUUGAAACUCUUUAAGCUCUGUUAGCUUGGCCUGUGUCCCUGGAGGUGCAGCUUCAAGCUUAGGACCACCCACCAUGCCCAUCCAGGUGCUGAAGGGUCUGACCAUCACUCGGUAAGAACAGAGGAGACUGCCUGUUACUCGUGAUGCAUCCCUCCAGACUCUCUGCUGUUUCCUGCCUAGGCGUGGCUGCAGCCAUGGGUAGGAAAGUGCUGGCACCCACCCACCUGGGCCGGAGCUGGUUCUGCUCCUGCUACAGGGACACUGAGCUGGCUAUCUCGGCACUUCGGGCAAGAACUGCAACAGGCUCUCCUGGGUCCUGCAGGUGUACAGCCGGGCCCCUGCCUUGUGCCUCAGCUCUGGAGAGCUGCUGCUGCUGGGUGACCUGAUCCAACCUGACAAGGUGCCAUCUUCAGCUACCACUGCAAGGCCCUGAGGGCAACAGCACCACAGCACUGCCCACCCGGCUGCUGAUGGCCUGGUGCCAGCUGGGAGUCCUCCCGCCACUUGGAGGCCACUGAGCCGCCCUUCCAGCCUCGGCCCACCAUGGACAGGGGUAUCCAGCUUCCUCCUCAACCUCGUCCUCUGCCCCUGAGCCAGUGACGCCCAAGGACAUGUCUGUUACCUGGCUCCUGUACCAGCGUGAGCUGGUCAAGGGCAUGACAGUGCUGGAGGCCGUCCUGGAGAUCCAGGCCAUCACUGACAGCAGGCUGCUCUCCAUGGUGCCAGGGCCCGCCAGGCCACCAGGCUCAUGCUGGGACCCAACCCAGUGCACAAGGACUUGGCUGCUGAGCCACACACCCAGGAGAAGGUGGAUAAGUGGGCUACCAAGGGCUUCCUGCAGGCUGGGGGAGGAGCUGCCCAUACACCACCAUGAGACCUGGGCCUGGCUCUCGAGGACAGGCACCACCUGGCCUGGUGCUCCAGGGGUGAAGCCGGCCAGAAUCCUAGGGGAGCUGCUCCUGGUUUGAGCUGCAGUUAGGAAGCACGGGACAUGGUAGGGGAGGCAAAAAGCCUUGGGCGCUAACCUCCCCAUGGAGCCAUUCGGCGUCCCUCGAGCUAGCCACACCCUGACACCAUGUUCAAGGGCCCUGAAAGAGAAGGAUGUCUGCCCCCAACCUCCCCCGUGGGUGUCAACUGGCCAGACGUCAUGAGGGGAGCAGGCCUCAUGAGUGGACACUUACCGUGCGUCCCUGGAGGGAGUGAUCCCCCAGGCAUCGUGUGCCAUGUUACAUUUCUGCCCAGGCAGCAGGGUAGGUGGGUACCAUGGGUGCCCAUCCCACCAGCACAUGGGGCCCCAGAGCACUGCAGGCCAAGCAGGGCGACCCCACGCCCUUGAUAUAAAAGCAUUUUGAAGCUUUUA
This 1674-nucleotide small RNA is filed under the name Pongo abelii (Sumatran orangutan). RNAcentral describes it as "processed transcript". The record is from RNAcentral. Lineage: Eukaryota; Metazoa; Chordata; Mammalia; Primates; Hominidae.